CUACUCGUUUUUUGGGCUCUCGGGCUCAGAGACCAAGCGAAAGUGAUAAGUUAGCCACCUGGGGAGUACGUUCGCAAGAAUGAAACUCAAAGGAAUUGACGGGGGCCCGCACAAGUGGUGGAUUAUGUGGUUUAAUUCGAUGAUACGCGAGGAACCUUACCAAGACUUAAAUGGGAAAUGACCGGUUUAGAAAUAGACCUUUCGCAAGACAUUUUUCAAGGUGCUGCAUGGUUGUCGUCAGCUCGUGCCGUGAGGUGUUAGGUUAAGUCCUGCAACGAGCGCAACCCCUGUCACUAGUUGCUACCAUUAAGUUGAGGACUCUAGUGAGACUGCCUACGCAAGUAGAGAGGAAGGUGGGGACGACGUCAAAUCAUCACGGCCCUUACGUCUUGGGCCACACACGUAAUACAAUGGCCGGUACAGAGGGCAGCUACACAGCGAUGUGAUGCAAAUCUCGAAAGCCGGUCUCAGUUCGGAUUGGAGUCUGCAACUCGACUCUAUGAAGCUGGAAUCGCUAGUAAUCGCGCAUCAGCCAUGGCGCGGUGAAUACGUUCCCGGGCCUUGUACACACCGCC
Molecule: ribosomal RNA, 575 nt
Filed under: uncultured bacterium
Lineage: Bacteria
Description: bacterial SSU rRNA
Rfam family: Bacterial small subunit ribosomal RNA
Source: RNAcentral